RNAcentral lists this ribosomal RNA (452 nucleotides) under uncultured bacterium. RNAcentral describes it as "bacterial SSU rRNA". It matches the Rfam family "Bacterial small subunit ribosomal RNA", at positions 29 to 526 of the family's 1533-position model. The record is from RNAcentral.
AACGAACGCUGGCGGCAUGCCUAAUACAUGCAAGUCGAACGAAGGCUUCGGCCUUAGUGGCGCACGGGUGCGUAACGCGUGGGAAUCUACCCUUGGGUUCGGAAUAACAGUUAGAAAUGACUGCUAAUACCGGAUGAUGACGUAAGUCCAAAGAUUUAUCGCCCAAGGAUGAGCCCGCGUAGGAUUAGCUUGUUGGUGAGGUAAAAGCUCACCAAGGCGACGAUCCUUAGCUGGUCUGAGAGGAUGAUCAGCCACACUGGGACUGAGACACGGCCCAGACUCCUACGGGAGGCAGCAGUAGGGAAUAUUGGACAAUGGGCGAAAGCCUGAUCCAGCAAUGCCGCGUGAGUGAUGAAGGCCUUAGGGUUGUAAAGCUCUUUUACCCGGGAUGAUAAUGACAGUACCGGGAGAAUAAGCCCCGGCUAACUCCGUGCCAGCCGCCGCCGUAAGAC